RNAcentral lists this ribosomal RNA (58 nucleotides) under Viscaria asterias. RNAcentral's name for it is "partial 28S ribosomal RNA". It matches the Rfam family "Eukaryotic large subunit ribosomal RNA", at positions 1 to 57 of the family's 3401-position model. The record is from RNAcentral. RNAcentral also lists the same sequence under 1 other name. Lineage: Eukaryota; Viridiplantae; Streptophyta; Magnoliopsida; Caryophyllales; Caryophyllaceae.
GCGACCCCAGGUCAGGCGGGGCUACCCGCUGAAUUUAAGCAUAUCAAUAAGCGGAGGA